AGCCGAAACGGGCGGAUGGCCCGUCCGCCGGAACCGCCCCACCGGUGCUGAUGAUGGCAGGGCAUG
Molecule: non-coding RNA, 66 nt
Filed under: Butyricicoccus sp. 1XD8-22
Lineage: Bacteria; Bacillati; Bacillota; Clostridia; Eubacteriales; Butyricicoccaceae
Source: RNAcentral